This 639-nucleotide ribosomal RNA is filed under the name Aeromonas salmonicida. RNAcentral's name for it is "bacterial SSU rRNA". It matches the Rfam family "Bacterial small subunit ribosomal RNA", at positions 202 to 831 of the family's 1533-position model. Lineage: Bacteria; Pseudomonadati; Pseudomonadota; Gammaproteobacteria; Aeromonadales; Aeromonadaceae. The record is from RNAcentral.
GGACCUUCGGGCCUUUCGCGAUUGNAUGAACCCAGGUGGGAUUACCUAGUUGGUGGGGUAAUGGCUCACCAAGGCGACGAUCCCUAGCUGGUCUGAGAGGAUGAUCAGCCACACUGGAACUGAAACACGGUCCAGACUCCUACGGNAGNNAGCAGUGGGGAAUAUUGCACAAUGGGGGAAACCCUGAUGCAGCCAUGCCGCGUGUGUGAAGAAGGCCUUCGGGUUGUAAAGCACUUUCAGCGAGGAGGAAAGGUUGGCGCCUAAUACGUGUCAACUGUGACGUUACUCGCAGAAGAAGCACCGGCUAACUCCGUGCCAGCAGCCGCGGUAAUACGGAGGGUGCAAGCGUUAAUCGGAAUUACUGGGCGUAAAGCGCACGCAGGCGGUUGGAUAAGUUAGAUGUGAAAGCCCCGGGCUCAACCUGGGAAUUGCAUUUAAAACUGUCCAGCUAGAGUCUUGUAGAGGGGGGUAGAAUUCCAGGUGUAGCGGUGAAAUGCGUANAGAUCUGGAGGAAUACCGGUGGCGAAGGCGGCCCCCUGGACAAAGACUGACGCUCAGGUGCGAAAGCGUGGGGAGCAAACAGGAUUANAUACCCUGGUAGUCCACGCCGUAAACGAUGUCGAUUUGGAGGCUGUGUCC